AACCCACAGAGCCCGCUUUGAACCCGACUAAAUCCAGCGUUUUGUCCAGUUUGGAAGAGGCUAAGACUUCCGGUGUUUUGACCACAGGGAGCGCAUCGCUACACGCCCCAAAGCUGCCAGCCAUGCACACACAGCGUGGGAACAUCUGCUGAGCACACACAGGAACACCUGGUGAGGGGACAAGUAUCAUGCUGAGGGCCUGUGCAGACCCCCACCAAGAUGAGCCUGCAAAUCAAAAGCUUCAGAGGUGAUUCAUCUCUUCACUGGAGUCUCCGCUUUUCAUCUGGAGUUAAGACUGAAAGGGGCGACACUUUAACUUAUGGCUCCUCAUAUCUGCAUCCGCGAGAAUUUGGCGUUCGUCUUUUCUUCCCAUGCAUCGCAGCCCGAGGGCACGGCAGUCAGGCACAUUCGACGUGCGACGCCAGGAGCUUUGACCUAUCUUUGCUCACAAAGGCUGAGCCUUCGGUGGAUGCUCGUUUUACACCUGAAGACGAUGCCCCCCCCCCCCCCCCCCCCCCCCCCCCCCCCCUCAUCCGUUGCCAGUUAACCUGCUUAUUUUAGAAUCGCCGGUUUAAGGAAACGCCAACAAAAUUUUGAAGCACAACCAAACAAGUUGUUACUAAUGCCAUUUACUGAACGAAAGAACGUCUCAUCUUUUUAAAACUUGUCAUAUCACACAUUGCUAAAAAUUCAGGGUUCAGUAGGUUUUUUUUUCUGUUUAAAAUAGUCAUAGAUGCAGACAUUUUUGGGGCUCACGUCACAAAUAUGUACAAAUUAGGACAACAGUGGCAUGAAACAAGCUCUGACUAAUGUUUGACAUUGAUGCUGAAAGUGUUGCUCAAAUUGAAUUACCAGUGAUAGUUACUGGGUCUAUUCCCACGUUUUCAAGCCACUGUAAGUCAAAUCAAAGACUGCACUUGUACAUUUCUGAUGGAGCUGAUUAGCUGAGAUUUCAUAUGUUUAAAUUUAUAUGAACCUUUGAUUGAUUGAUUGCUUAUUUACUAAUAAAUAUAUAAUGGUUUAUUUAAAUAAAUAUUUG
This 1039-nucleotide long non-coding RNA is filed under the name Betta splendens (Siamese fighting fish). RNAcentral describes it as "lncRNA (ENSBSLG00000015878.1)". The record is from RNAcentral. Lineage: Eukaryota; Metazoa; Chordata; Actinopteri; Anabantiformes; Osphronemidae.